This 328-nucleotide ribosomal RNA is filed under the name uncultured eukaryote. Its description in RNAcentral is "partial 18S ribosomal RNA". It matches the Rfam family "Eukaryotic small subunit ribosomal RNA", at positions 1470 to 1796 of the family's 1831-position model. The record is from RNAcentral.
CCCUUAGAUGUCCUGGGCUGCACGCGCGCUACACUGAUGUGUCCAGUAAGCACCUAACCUCUUCCGAAAGGAACGGGUAACCUUUGCAAAGCACAUCGUGAUAGGGAUAGAUUAUUGAAAUUAUUAAUCUUGAACGAGGAAUUCCUAGUAAACGCAGAUCAUCAAUCUGCAUUGAUUACGUCCCUGCCCUUUGUACACACCGCCCGUCGCACCUACCGAUUGGAUGGUCCGGUGAAGCCUCGGGAUUGUGGUUCUUGCCGCUUUAUUGUGGCGUGACCGCGAGAACUUGUCUAAACCUUAUCAUCUAGAGGAAGGUGAAGUCGUAACA